This 1114-nucleotide long non-coding RNA is filed under the name Anser cygnoides (Swan goose). RNAcentral's name for it is "lncRNA (ENSACDG00005008924.1)". Lineage: Eukaryota; Metazoa; Chordata; Aves; Anseriformes; Anatidae. The record is from RNAcentral.
CCAGGAAAGGCACUGGAGCAGAUUUAUCCCCUCAGCAAAGACAGAGUCUGGGGACAGAGGGUCUCCUCCCACGUGUGGGCACCAACACUGAAGGACAAGUCAGCAGUCAUUAAUGUUACAAUAAAUGAUGUAUGGCUUCAAACCCUUAUACUGCUUUCCCCCACUCCAUCAAACCAUACUUAGGGAUCAUCUCUUAAUAUCCUCCGAAAGGGCUUUGUUUGCUACCACAGUUGCUGUGAACAGCCUAUAAUGAGAUGCCUUCAUUGUUCUCACAUACAUGAUUACAUAAUAAGUAGUCCAGAAGUUACAAGCUAUAAAUUCUUUAGGGCCAAAGUUCCCAUGUUCUCCAAACUGCCUGCUAGGCAGAGGGGCAACUACUUACAUAGGUUUUUUUUACAGUCAACCAAGUGCUUGCAUGUCAGGAGAUCCUGAUUGUACCUCAGGAGACCCUGAUUCCUUUCCUGGUGGCUGCCAAACGCCAUCAGAGUGAGCUCCAUUAGCACUGGGUGGAGCAGCAGAUGCCCUUCAUGAAUCUGUGCUCAGCCUGGAGGCUUGCAGGGUGCCCAGAGGUCCAUGUCCAGUCGAGGGUCCAGACUUCUGGGGAAAGGUCAAGCUCAUGGGACAAACCGUCUAUCUCAGAGAGAUCAAGACUGAGCCCAGGGCUAGCGUGAAAACUCAGACCCAGCUCCAGAAGUUGUGGAAAGUCUUCUUAACUUCAAGCUUAAUUCAAGCUUAAUUCAAGAAACACAGAAACGAUUGGGCAUCAAAGCUGAAAAAUGCCAAGAGACACAACUGCUUCAGCUCUUACCCACUGAUUUGUUUCUGUCCCCUGCAGCCACAAUGAGGAGCUAACUCCCUUGUGGCACUGGGCCCAGCAUUGCUCUGGGGACAGAAAUGGGCUCCUCCCUGUGCAGCUCCAGACCGGGCACCUCUGGCACCCCAGGGCUUCCCCCAGCUCCAUGGCGCAGCCUGGCCAUAAGAAGCUGCAGAAAUGCCUUUGUGUCCUCUCCGUUCAUCUCUGGGUGGGCAUCAAUGAGAACUUCCAGGGUUGAUCUGCAUGGCUGGAGCUUGCCCUUCAUGGUGUGAGUAUUGGAGGUUUCCUUUCAGAGCUAUG